RNAcentral lists this ribosomal RNA (253 nucleotides) under uncultured bacterium. Its description in RNAcentral is "partial 16S ribosomal RNA". It matches the Rfam family "Bacterial small subunit ribosomal RNA", at positions 524 to 776 of the family's 1533-position model. The record is from RNAcentral.
GACGGAGGAUGCAAGCGUUAUCCGGAUUUAUUGGGUUUAAAGGGAGCGUAGGCGGGACAAUAAGUCAGUGGUGAAAGCCUGGGGCUCAACCCCGGAACUGCCAUUGAUACUGUUGACCUAGAGUACAUUUGAUGUGGGCGGAAUGUGUCAUGUAGCGGUGAAAUGCUUAGAUAUGACACAGAACACCGAUUGCGUAGGCAGCUCACAAAACUGUAACUGACGCUGAGGCUCGAAAGCGUGGGGAUCAAACAGG